Arachis ipaensis is the source of this 242-nucleotide non-coding RNA. The record is from RefSeq and is a predicted model, not a curated record. Lineage: Eukaryota; Viridiplantae; Streptophyta; Magnoliopsida; Fabales; Fabaceae.
ACUUGGUGUUAUUCAUUUGCAACAUGCUAAAACUGGAAAUUAGAUUUGAAUUGGGACACUGAAUGUAAUAUACUAGUGAAUUUAGCUGAAAUUUGCUAUAUGCAAGCAUGUCUGCAUAAGCUGUUUGUUUCCUUUAUAAUAUGAUUUCUCUUAAAGGCUUAUUUCUUUCUUGUUUUAACUGCUUUUAUAAUCGCUGAGCAUGCCCAUUGGACUUUGGUAGAGAAUAAAGAAUUUAGUUGAAA